UGGGAGUCAGGUGGCUGCUGUGAGGACAAGGAAGAGUCAGUGCCUGGAGGAGCUGCCUGCAAGAACCAUCAAGGAGGAAUAUAUUUCCUCUGGCUCAUCUUUUCAGGAACACACGUGCACUAAUAGCACAAGAACAACUCACCUUCGUUCUACACUUCUCCACAAGGUCAAUUAUUACCAUGCAAGUACUUGACUGAAAAUUGGUUGCUAUGAAGAAAACUCCAUCCUCUAUCAAGGCAUCUGAUACAUCAUUGGUGAUACCAUAAGCUACCCUAAAGAAAUGUCUUACUGGAAGGGCUAUGAAACACAUGGUAAAUGAAAAUUAAUUCAGUAUUUAUUCAAGAUAAUAGAGAGCUAGUUGACUUGUUUGGUCUGACAGAAUAUGAAAAAAGUUCUUUAUGGCUUUGAAUUCCUCAUAUCAGACCAGCAGUGUUACAUGUCUGAUGAAAUCAGGACUAGAAAUUUCACCUGAAAUGUGGGUGGGAGAAGCAAAAAAGUUCAUAAUUCUUGAAGCAAAAGAACUCCAUGACAGAUUUACCUGGUGUAGAAGAGA
Non-coding RNA from Zonotrichia albicollis (white-throated sparrow), 553 nucleotides. Lineage: Eukaryota; Metazoa; Chordata; Aves; Passeriformes; Passerellidae. The record is from RefSeq and is a predicted model, not a curated record.